Molecule: transfer RNA, 83 nt
Filed under: Termitomyces sp. T159_Od127
Lineage: Eukaryota; Fungi; Basidiomycota; Agaricomycetes; Agaricales; Lyophyllaceae
Description: tRNA-Pro
Rfam family: tRNA
About the family: Transfer RNA (tRNA) molecules are approximately 80 nucleotides in length.
Source: RNAcentral
GGCCUGAUGGUCUAGUAGUAUGAUUCCUUGUUAGGGAUAUCAACCAUUUGAGGAGGUCCCAGGUUCAAUUCCUGGUCAGGCCC